UACGGGGGGAGCAAGCGUUGUUCGGAUUUACUGGGCGUAAAGGGCGCGUAGGCGGCCACCGCAAGUCGGUUGUGAAAUCUCCGGGCUUAACCCGGAAAGGUCAAUCGAUACUGCGGGGCUAGAGUGCAGAAGGGGCAACUGGAAUUCUCGGUGUAGCGGUGAAAUGCGUAGAUAUCGAGAGGAACACCUGCGGCGAAGGCGGGUUGCUGGGCUGACACUGACGCUGAGGCGCGAAAGCUAGGGGAGCGAACGGG
RNAcentral lists this ribosomal RNA (254 nucleotides) under uncultured bacterium. RNAcentral describes it as "partial 16S ribosomal RNA". It matches the Rfam family "Bacterial small subunit ribosomal RNA", at positions 524 to 776 of the family's 1533-position model. The record is from RNAcentral.